GAUGAACGCUGGCGGCGUGCCUAAUACAUGCAAGUCGAACGCAUUGAGAGAAGUGCUUGCACUUUUCAAUUUGAGUGGCGAACGGGUGAGUAACACGUGGGCAACCUACCUGAUAGCGGGGGAUAACGAGUGGAAACAUUCGCUAAUACCGCAUAACAAUAGAGAAGGCAUCUUCUUUAUUUAAAAGGCGCUUUCAAGCGUCACUAUCAGAUGGGCCCGCGGUGCAUUAGUUAGUUGGUGGGGGGAAGGCCUACCAAGACGAUGAUGCAUAGCCGAUUUGAGAGACUGAGCGGCCACAUUGGGACUGAGACACGGCCCAAACUCCUACGGGAGGCUGCAGUAGGGAAUCUUCCACAAUGGACGAAAGUCUGAUGGAGCAACGCCGCGUGUGUGAUGAAGGCUUUCGGGUCGUAAAGCACUGUUGUAUGGGAAGAAAUGCUAGGCUAGGAAAUGAGCUUAGUUUGACGGUACCAUACCAGAAAGGGACGGCUAAAUACGUGCCAGCCGCCGCCGUAA
This 516-nucleotide ribosomal RNA is filed under the name uncultured bacterium. RNAcentral's name for it is "partial 16S ribosomal RNA". It matches the Rfam family "Bacterial small subunit ribosomal RNA", at positions 28 to 523 of the family's 1533-position model. The record is from RNAcentral.